CACACAACAAACAAGAAACAUCAUCACUAAACCAGACCUCCCAGCACUACAUCAACCCGUCUUUUGAACACCUCCAGGGAUGAUGUGUCCAUACUUCCCCCUUUGACCACCUCCCCCGCAGCCCCCCAAAAGUUUUGACCUUCUUGAAAAAUCCUUCUCUCCCCAGCUCUGAGCUCCUGGGACCCCCAAAAAACCAUAUUCCCUUAUUCUCAUGGACCGUCUGCAGGGCUGGAUCCCUCGGUGGGACGUGGGUCUGGACUCUCUGUCCCGCACGUGGUGGAUACGUGCCAGACGGCAGCACUUUUUUUAAAUAAUCUGUAGCACUCUAAUGUCCGUCCCGCAGGAGCUGAUGAAAUGGGUCCUAUUAUACUUCCUGAGCUAAGCUUGAUCUUUCAUUGUCCCGUCGGCCCAGCUCCCGGCACCGCGAGCUCCAUUUUCACUGCGGACAAUUGCAAAGGCCAAAAGUGGGAAUCACCGGUGGUGGAAAAGUUUUAUGGGUUUCCCUUUUGCCAUUUCCAUCUAGAUGACAUCAUAAAACGCCACAGGAAGGAGCAGACGGAGGGCAGUGCCACGGGGGACCGGCGGCAGCAGCAGGUGAAGAACAGGAACGCGGCGUUUGGGUCCGGGCGGCCCCGAUUCCGCGCCUGGAUGCAGAGGAAUUUGCAAGGGCCUAACCGUUUUAGAAGAGGGUUUGGACAACAACAACACAACCGGAGACAGUUCAGGAACACUGUGCCCGGCCCCAGGAGAAGGGCAGCUGCCGCCUUAAACGGAGUGAGCCCUUUGAAUCGCCAGGCAUCGGCUCAGGAGGGCAACAGGAACGACGAGGCUUUCGCCAAAAGCAGCGGGCAGCCCGAGGGACGGCGACGGCCGCCCCCAGGCCCCAAGAGAUUCCGAGUGGCUGCUGCCAGCACCCACGCCCCGGGGAGAAGGCCUUUCCUGCUGAACCGGGGACCAGCCUUCCAGCAGAAGCGGAUGCCGCAGUGGUUCUCCAAAGCCAACUUUCAGAGAGGGCAGAUGGAUGCUAAUGGAGAAGGGAAACCACCCAGGAGGAGAAGGUGGCAAGUGAAGCCCAGCCCCGGAGCGGUUCUGACGGUUUCUGUGGCUAAUCCCCAGGCGGGCCAGGCCGGCGCGCCAGCCAAAGCCAUCUCCAGACUAACCUCUGGUGGGGUCGAGAGGUUUAGAAGUGCAGGAGGAACCAUACAGGGUCAGGAGAGAGUCCCCGUGGAGCAUCCCCGGGAUUGGGACACCAGGACCAAACCAAACACACAGCGAUUUCUUCCUUUAGCCCUGGUAUCUUUGUGUUUAACAGCAUUUGGUGGGGUUUUCUUCCACUGUUGCCUUUUGCUGUUUGCUUUCUGUCUAUUUGUCUGCCUCCAGAGGCCAGUAUUACAAGUGAAUAUUUGUUCCUGUAUGCCCUUCACAAUUUAUAGACCCAUGCCGUGUUCUCCCUUCCUCACCACCUUUCUAGAAGAACCUCAGUGUAUCUACUUGUUCACUGCCACCUUCUGGAUAUAUAUAUAUAUUUUUUUUUUUAGUGUAUAUAAAUUUGUAAUAAAGAUAUCUUAAAAUAAACUAUGUUUAUAUUAAGUCA
This 1594-nucleotide long non-coding RNA is filed under the name Calidris pugnax (ruff). RNAcentral describes it as "lncRNA (ENSCPUG00000011294.1)". Lineage: Eukaryota; Metazoa; Chordata; Aves; Charadriiformes; Scolopacidae. The record is from RNAcentral.